UCUCUCUCGUUAUUGAAUCUUUUUAUAUCUGUUAGGGUUCUAUUCUAGGGCUUGUAGGCUGGAACUGCGAUUGAUCAUUUCAAGCUAUAAAUCAUUUUGUCACUCAGGCCAUUAUUUGAUUUAGUUCGUGCGAUGAGGCGCUACGACUGUGGAUUAUUUUCAUUGGUCAAUUUCGCGAUGAAAUAAUAAUGUUCAAGUCGUAAUCUAUAUUUCUUGUUGUUCGGCGAGAUCGUAUUUGACUAUUGGGAACUUUCUUGGUGAUAUAUUUGGUUUCUUUUUCUCAGAUUCGGACGGAAGCGAUUUUAUCACGUGAUAAGGUUCAUGGUACAUAUAAAUCCUGUUGAUCUGUCGUGUUCUUGGUUCGCAGUUUCAGAUUCGGGUGGAAGCGAUUUUAUCGCGUGAUAAGGUUCAUGGUACAUAUAAAUCCGGUUCUGGAUUUAAGAACCCGCUUCUAUACCCUAGCAGAUUUGGAGACUUUGCUUUCAAUUCUGUUGAUCUGUCGUGUUCUUGGUUUGCAGUUUCAGGUGUUUUAGUGCGGUAUUACAAUUCUGUUGUUCCGUCUUGUUCUUCCGUCUUUGUAAAUGUUCGAGUCGUAAUUGGUUACAGUCACUUUGUUCGUCGAUUGCAUCUAUAUUUCUAGUUGUUUCGCGAGAUCGUAUUUGACUAUUGGGUACUUUCCUGGUGAUAUAUUUGAUUUAUUUUUCUCAGAUUCGGACGGAAGCGAUUGUAUCGCGUGAUAAGGUUCAUGGUACAUAUAGAUCCUGUUCUGGAUUUAAGAACCCGCUUCUAUACCCUAACAGAUUUGGAGACUUCGCUUUCAAUUCUGCUGAUCUGUCGUGUCUUGUUCUUUCGUCUUUGUACACCCGGUUUACUUCUGCGUCUUCAUCAGUAUCCAAAGCUGUUUUUUUUUUAUUGAUUUUAUGUAUUUAUCUUUUUAAUUUACUAUUGUUUUUAAUUUUGACCGUUACUUUGACUAUGAACAACUUUUUCGCGUGCCCGCUGCAGGAAACGGACGACUAGGACAAGGGCGAAUACUCACCGUCCGAUUUUUUAGCCAACAGCUUAAUCCUCGCCGUCUCUCUUCGCCUAUGGCUCUCCAAGUCGUCAUCCUGUGUGUGGUUUGUCUAAUCUCCACAUUCCUUACUCGGUCCCUGCCUCUCUCUCUCUCUCUCUCUACAACACCCUAGACGUAUGUGCUGUAUGUCUCUAGGGAAAAUUUGGAGCGUUGUAGCCUGUGGGAUCAAGAACAUGAUGUGCUGAUGAGAGCCGAAGUUGCUAUUUAUUUUUCGUCUAUUUAGAUGCUGGUUUAUCUCGUUUGGUUCGUGUGACAUGCUACUUCAGUUCUAGAUUUUUCACCUUGAUAAAUGCUAGGAUGGAAUGACAUUGUUCCAUUAGUAUUGGUGGUAAUUACUUUUAUCAUCGUUGAACUGGAUCCAGGUUUCUAGUUAUCUGAUGAGACUAUAUACUUGGGGAUAUGGAUUUUUUCCCCUGCAGUUAAUUGCUAGACUCAGAUCAAGGCGACUUCAUCACAGGAUGGUGAUUCUUAAACUGGUUUUCGUGGUUCUUGGGACAUCUGGAUUCUGUUUUGGGAUUUUAGGUUGGUCAUCCGUUUCUAUACUUGAUCAGUUGCCGUUGAUGGUACUGCAAUUCCGCUGAUUCAUGUUCUUGGUUUGCAAAUUUAGGUGGUUUAGUGCAGUAUCCGAGUGCUAAUAUGGAUGACUAAUUGAGAGCUUGUUGUCUUUAUAUUUUGUCCGAGAGUUCAUAGAUGCAGGGUUUGAUUCUCCUGCUUCUUUGUUUUAUUUGCUUAAUGGCCUGAUAUAGUAUGCCAUUGUAUACAUGGAGCAAUUUGCGCUGUGCACAAGGAAGAAGGACAGAAAGAACUCAACCAUGAACUUGAAGAUGUUGCUUUAUUUUUAUCCCUCUCUUUUGCUAAGUCACCAUCUUCUUCUUAGAUCGUCUAUUGAGUAUUACUGUGUUCUCUUGAUUAGGUGUGAAAUUGUUGUUGGCAUUAUGUGUCAACAGCGGCAUCAGUUCCACUUUAUUUCUUCUAAGUUUACCAAAGACAAUAUCUGGUUCAAACAUAUUUGUCCCAUGCUUCAGGUGAUGCCUUGAUGCUUGAAUUUCUUGUAAAUUUAUUUUUGUUGUUGCAGGAACUCUGGCACAUGUUUGUUCCCCAUUUCUUAAUAAAAAGUCCAUGUACUUGUUAGAUUAUUGCACCAGUCUAGCUGUCAUUUCCCCAGAUCAUCUGUUGUCGUAGAGUCAUGUGAGUUCUUGGGUAUAUCUUUUUAUUCUUUUUAGUUCUCUCGGUGGCUUGCUGAAGUUUUCCUGCCUUUGACCAUUUCUGUAUAUAUUUUCUAAUUUUGAUUUUAAGAUGGAUAUGGGCUGUGAAUUUAUGUUACAUUAUUGCAACAGUCUAGUUAUCAUUGCUGUCAUUUUCCCAGAUCAUCUGUUGUUGUGGAUGCAUAAAUUGCUUUUGGUGUCACUUUGGAGAGCUUGCAAUUUCACAAUUGUGUUUAUAUCUGAUAUUAUUGGCAAGUUUUUUUUCUUAAUGUUCAUAAAUAACGGUUAUCCUGCUUCUGCAACUAGUUCUGUUUUACAUUGAUAAUGCUGCCUUUUUGGUGGAUUCAGACUAGAGACAAGAUUGAGAGAGAUGUAAAACAUCUGCCAUCUGCAUAUCUGAAGAUAGUAAGAAGUGGGGCUUGUAGUGUACUCUUGUUUCCAAAAGUUCCUACUUUUAGUAUUUCUUCACUUUCUUAACAAUCAGGUGUGUUCUUGGCAUGAUAUUCAAUCACUGUCAUUGAGCUGGCUGAUGCUAGGAAAUGCUUGCAAUUUGGUGCUUUUCGCUUAUUGUGUGGGGAUGUUGUGUUCUUUUCAUUUAGAGUGCAGGAAUAUUGUCAUUUAUUUGUGGGCACGGUUUGUAAUAUCACCUCAGCUGGGGUGCAUUACAGGUACUACACUUUUAGUAUGGUUUCAAUGAGCAAUGCUUGCUCUGUUUGGAUUUUACUAAUGAAUCUCUCUGGCAAUGAUUUUCAUUGCAGAAAGAAGAUAUAUUUUUUAAUGAAUUGUUCUUGUUCUACAGCUGGUUUUUGGUGCGUAUAUGUAUGUCAGGAUUAUGGACGGUAUUGAGCUUAUUGCUUGGUUUUCUUUCAGUUCAGUUAGUUGUUACUGUACCAUUCUGAAUUACUUGCUAAGCUGCUGUACCAUUUGAAAAAUAUUAGAUCAGACAAGAUGUGGAUGUUGAAUCAUCCGAUAUUUGGAGCAUCAACAGUCUCUGGCUUUCCGGUGGGAGUAAUUUGUCAACUCGUGUGUUAUCUAUAUGCCCCACUAGUUCGGUGGAUAGGAUAGAAUAGUCAAGAUUCCUGGCUCAGGAGUAUUUUGGCUUCAAUUUUUGUUGUUUCGGUUAGUAACUUCUAUUUUUCCUUAUCUUUGAGUAGGUCCCAGUAAGAUUUUGUGUUUGAGGGCAGCAUUAAUAUGGAAUUUUACUGAAUGAUUGCCAACUUUGGAUGAAAGGGGCAAUUUUUACUUAAUACAUGUUUCAGAUAUUUUUUCAACAUGUUACUUGUAAGGAUAUCAUUUAAAAAUGUUUGAUUCAGAGGCAGCAUCCAGUCAAAGUGCCUGCAGCUCCAAACUUGUUCUUAUCUUUUGAAACCUAAACCAAGAUGUUCCAUGAUCUCUCUAUUUGGUGACUUGCUAGACUAUGGAUUGUUGUGAUGGAAGCUAAUAUGAAUUUGAUCUUCCCUGUGACCAAUCUUUGUGGUGAAGGAUCCAAGUUGGUACUCAAUUCCUGCAAAUGGUUUAAUCCACUUCUAUGGUGACACAAUUCUUUGCUGAUGCAGAUGGUUAUUCUUUUUUUUUUAGCUUGGAUGUCUUGGUUUCAUUGAGCACGGAGCACGUGCUGAUGCAGCUAAGACAUUUUGGACAACCCUACUUUGUGAUUUUUGACCAUGAUGUUAUUGGGUGGGAUUUGUUGCAUGGUAUUUCGUGCAACAGCAUUACUGUAAUUCUGGAUGGGUUACCUUAUUCAAUGCUGAUAUGAAAUAACUUUCUUUCAGUUGUAAUUGGGGAUAAUCAUCGUUCUGUAAAUAGGAUCCUGAAUUCUUUUUCUGUUGCUGAAUCCUAACUGCUUUUCUCCAUUUUCAUUACAUUUGGAUUCUCUUGGAUUAUAGAUUGAAAUGAUCUACUUCCUUAUAACGUCCCAACUUUCCUGUGAUGGUGUUAUGAUUCUGUUGAUCAGUGUUCUUGGUUUGCAGUUUUAGGUGUCUUAGUGCGGUAUCCAAAUGCUAACAUGUAUCCAAAUGGUUCGCCUGCUUUUUUAUUGAAUUCGGUCAGGAGUUGAUAUAGAGUUACUGGUUCUCUAGUUUCUUGGUACAUCUGUUUCGGAUCUCGUAGCCCUAACAAAUAAGAAGACAAUCUUAUUUAGUUACACUUGGUGUUGUUUCCCAUUUCCUGUUU
This is an RNA transcript of Diospyros lotus (date-plum), 4452 nucleotides long. RefSeq lists it as uncharacterized. NCBI's taxonomy places the organism in Eukaryota, Viridiplantae, Streptophyta, Magnoliopsida, Ericales, Ebenaceae. The transcript is spliced from 3 exons. The record is from RefSeq and is a predicted model, not a curated record.